ACAAGCUUUCGGGAGAACCUCCCUUUCUCAAGUCUGAAGCAUUUUGAAAUGCUUCAGACUUGAGAAAGGGAGGUUCUCCCGAAAGCUUG
Molecule: microRNA precursor, 89 nt
Filed under: Pelobates cultripes (western spadefoot toad)
Lineage: Eukaryota; Metazoa; Chordata; Amphibia; Anura; Pelobatidae
Source: RNAcentral